RNAcentral lists this long non-coding RNA (816 nucleotides) under Olea europaea (common olive). Its description in RNAcentral is "long non-coding RNA (OEUR_LNC005261)". Lineage: Eukaryota; Viridiplantae; Streptophyta; Magnoliopsida; Lamiales; Oleaceae. The record is from RNAcentral.
UUUUGUUCGUAAAAAAUUGAAAUCAUAAAUUUCACUUUGAAUUAAAUCAAUUGAUUCUAUAUUUCUUUCAAGAUUGAGGUGAUGACCUUGUAAAAAUUUUGUUUCAACACAAGUUUCACACUUAUGUAGGUAUUGAAUAGAGUUUCAAUCCUUUGGCAUUUUCGGUGCCUGUUCCUCUUAUCUUGUGAGGUAACCUCCUUUGGAAACCUUUCAUUGGUAGGCCUAUCCCUAUGCUGCCAUUUGCGUUGCUUUUUUGAUGCGCUGCCACAGAUUUUUGACCCUCGUAUGCUACUAUUAUCAUAGAAAAAGCGCUGUUACAUUUUUUUCAAUUUUAUCUAGCGCGCAUACCUUUGUAUUUUCUAUCUUCGCUCGUCAAGAAGUAUUCUCCACCGUAAGAACUUUUAAAAUUUAAGCCAUUUCCUGAAUGAUUUGACAGUAGACAUUUUCUUUCACAAGCAGCAACAUUGUGCAGGAGACAUGCCAGCUUGCAUUUUUACCAUAGUUUCUUCUCUCCAUCUCUUGGGAUUAGCAUCACUGUCUGGUGAACAGUCACUUCAUUCGCUGACUUUCACUACUAAUGCUUUCAUUUCUUCUUAUUUUUCUUUGAUCCGACUCAUGACUUUUUAUCUAAAAAAUUUUGAGCUUUUUCAGAUAUAAUAAGAUUUUGUGGUUUACUGCAUUCAAGUUUUCCAACAGAUGGCGCCAAUUUGUUGAUGAUAGAAAUCUAAUCAAUAAAUUUUAUGCACCUAGUUAUGAUUUUCACUUUUUUAAAUUUACUAGUUUUGAUCAUCAAACUGGAAAAAGAAGAAAAAUACC